GAUGAACGCUGGCGGCGUGCCUAAUACAUGCAAGUCGAGCGAACGGACGAGAAGCUUGCUUCUCUGAUGUUAGCGGCGGACGGGUGAGUAACACGUGGAUAACCUACCUAUAAGACUGGGAUAACUUCGGGAAACCGGAGCUAAUACCGGAUAAUAUUUUGAACCGCAUGGUUCAAAAGUGAAAGACGGUCUUGCUGUCACUUAUAGCUGGAUCCGCGCUGCAUUAGCUAGUUGGUAAGGUAACGGCUUACCAAGGCAACGAUGCAUAGCCGACCUGAGAGGGGGAACGGCCACACUGGAACUGAGACACGGUCCAGACUCCUACGGGAGGCAGCAGUAGGGAAGCUUCCGAAAUGGGCGAAAGCCUGACGGAGCAACGCAGCGUGAGUGAUGAAGGUCUUCGGAUCGUAAAACGCUGUUAUUAGGGAAGAACAUAUGUGGAAGUAACUGUGCACAUCUUGACGGUACCUAAUCAGAAAGCAACGGCUAACUACGUG
RNAcentral lists this ribosomal RNA (497 nucleotides) under uncultured bacterium. Its description in RNAcentral is "partial 16S ribosomal RNA". It matches the Rfam family "Bacterial small subunit ribosomal RNA", at positions 28 to 507 of the family's 1533-position model. The record is from RNAcentral.